This 253-nucleotide ribosomal RNA is filed under the name uncultured bacterium. Its description in RNAcentral is "partial 16S ribosomal RNA". It matches the Rfam family "Bacterial small subunit ribosomal RNA", at positions 524 to 776 of the family's 1533-position model. The record is from RNAcentral.
UACGAAGGGGGCGAGCGUUGUUCGGAAUUACUGGGCGUAAAGGGCGCGUAGGCGGUCCUUCAAGUCAGGCGUGAAAGCCCCCGGCUCAACCGGGGAGGGUCGUCGGGGACUGGGGCGCUUGAGGGCGGUAGGGGCCGGUGGAAUUCCCGGUGUAGUGGUGAAAUGCGUAGAGAUCGGGAGGAACACCAGUAGCGAAGGCGGCCGGCUGGGCCGACCCUGACGCUGAGGCGCGAAGGCGUGGGGAGCGAACGGG